UACGGAGGAUGCAAGCGUUAUCCGGAUUCAUGGGGUUUAAAGGGUGUGUAGGCGGGUUUGUAAGUCAGUGGUGAAAUCUUGCCGCUUAACGGUAAAAUUGCCAUUGAUACUGCAGAUCUUGAAUAUGGAUGAGGUAGGCGGAAUGUGUAGUGUAGCGGUGAAAUGCAUAGAUAUUACACAGAACACCGAUUGCGAAGGCAGCUUACUAAACCAUUAUUGACGCUGAUGCACGAAAGCGUGGGGAGCAAACAGG
This 253-nucleotide ribosomal RNA is filed under the name uncultured microorganism. RNAcentral's name for it is "partial 16S ribosomal RNA". It matches the Rfam family "Bacterial small subunit ribosomal RNA", at positions 524 to 776 of the family's 1533-position model. The record is from RNAcentral.